UACGUAGGUGGCAAGCGUUGUCCGGAAUUACUGGGCGUAAAGGGCGUGUAGGCGGGGGGACAAGUCAGAUGUGAAAUCCCAGGGCUUAACUCUGGAGCUGCAUCUGAAACUGUUCCUCUUGAGUACUGGAGAGGAAAGUGGAAUUCCUAGUGUAGCGGUGAAAUGCGUAGAGAUUAGGAGGAACACCAGUGGCGAAGGCGGCUUUCUGGACAGUAACUGACGCUGAGGCGCGAAAGCGUGGGGAGCAAACAGGAUUAGAUACCCUGGUAGUCCACGCCGUAAACGAUGGAUACUAGGUGUAGGAGGUAUCGACCCCUUCUGUGCCGGAGUUAACACAAUAAGUAUCCCGCCUGGGGAGUACGGCCGCAAGGUUGAA
This 376-nucleotide ribosomal RNA is filed under the name uncultured bacterium. RNAcentral describes it as "bacterial SSU rRNA". It matches the Rfam family "Bacterial small subunit ribosomal RNA", at positions 524 to 898 of the family's 1533-position model. The record is from RNAcentral.